GCUGCCCCUAGAGGCAUUGCUGGUAUGGCUGCUGUGUCACAUGUGGGGCAGUAGGUGGCAGAGAGGAGAGGCUGAGUCUAUGUUUGGUGUUACGACUUAUGAACAUCUGAAUGGUUGGUAGCCUAACAUU
Small nucleolar RNA from Rattus norvegicus (Norway rat), 130 nucleotides. Ensembl annotates it as small nucleolar RNA SNORA17. NCBI's taxonomy places the organism in Eukaryota, Metazoa, Chordata, Mammalia, Rodentia, Muridae. The record is from Ensembl.